GCCUCUGUAGCUUAAACACCAAAGCAUUG
This 29-nucleotide transfer RNA is filed under the name Holbrookia elegans elegans. Its description in RNAcentral is "partial tRNA-Thr". Lineage: Eukaryota; Metazoa; Chordata; Lepidosauria; Squamata; Phrynosomatidae. The record is from RNAcentral.